CGGCCCUCGGCAGACCGCUCAGUAACACGUGGUGAACCUGCCCAAGGUGGAGCAUAAUCUCGGGAAACUGAGGAUAAUACUCCAUAGGCCACCUAUGCUG
RNAcentral lists this ribosomal RNA (100 nucleotides) under uncultured archaeon. Its description in RNAcentral is "partial 16S ribosomal RNA". It matches the Rfam family "Archaeal small subunit ribosomal RNA", at positions 72 to 172 of the family's 1478-position model. The record is from RNAcentral.